RNAcentral lists this ribosomal RNA (256 nucleotides) under uncultured bacterium. RNAcentral describes it as "partial 16S ribosomal RNA". It matches the Rfam family "Bacterial small subunit ribosomal RNA", at positions 524 to 776 of the family's 1533-position model. The record is from RNAcentral.
GACGUAGGUGGCGAACGUUAUCCGGAAUUAUUGGGCGUAAAGGGUGCGUAGAUGGCCUGAUAAGUUAGCAGUGGGAAAUCGAGGCUCAACCUCGUGGAAGCUGGUAAUACUGUCAGGCUCGAGUGCAGGAGAGGUUAACGGAACUCCAUGUGGAGCGGUAAAAUGUGUAGGUAUAUGGAAGAACACCAAUAACGGCGAAGGCAGUUAACUAUUCUGUUACUGACAUUGAGGCACGAAAGCGUGGGGAGCAAAACGG